UGAGAAGCCAAUAGUAGCAUUCAUUGCCGGUCUUACAGCUCCACCCGGUCGUCGUAUGGGUCAUGCUGGAGCUAUUGUAUCAGGAGGAAAGGGUACUGCCCAGGACAAAAUCAAGACCCUGAGGGCAGCUGGGGUUACCGUGGUCGAGUCUCCAGCUAAGAUUGGUGUUGCCAUGCUAGAAUGUUUCAAGAAGCGAGGCCUCUUGAAGGAUUAGGUUCUGCACCCAAUCUCUUUUUUCUUGUUACUACGGGGUGUACGGAUUUCACAGAAUUCCGGAAGCAGUUUUUGUUUUCUGAAUUUGCUUUGUCAAUAAUUGGAGUUGGUUUUGUAAACACACCUAGCGACAGUCCUUCAAUUGCAAGCCUGUUCUGGAGGAAAUUAUA
Papaver somniferum (opium poppy) is the source of this 383-nucleotide long non-coding RNA. RefSeq lists it as uncharacterized. The transcript has 2 exons. Lineage: Eukaryota; Viridiplantae; Streptophyta; Magnoliopsida; Ranunculales; Papaveraceae. The record is from RefSeq and is a predicted model, not a curated record.